AGAGCCUUGUGACAAACCCGUCGCCAUUUCACUGAGAGGAUUUUUUUUAACGUUAACUUUUGCUGGUCCCUUUUUGAAGAAGGAAGCAGUUUCAGAUGAGUUAUAUUACUCUUCCUUUUCUUCUGACAAUAAAACGCGCAACACAACUGCUUAUUAGACUCGAUUUUUUGAGUUAUCAUCUAUAACUUAUUAUCUAAAGGCCUUUCUUUUCUAAAAUUAGAAAAAACCAAAUAUGGAAGUAGUGCAUUGAGUCCUGAAGUGAAAAUUCUCGCGUAUUUAAUCGACGCUGAAGUUUAGCACAGUAAGCUCCAGCUGAAAUACGGUUAACCCGAAGGUAAAAGAAGGAUGUGUUAUUUCCCCAUUAGGGAAUAGCGGAAACAAGUUGCGUGCAGUUCACACAGCUCGCCGGCUCAAAACGAUGGCUUUCUUGCCUCUUUGUGUUUUCGUUCUUGAGGUCUGUUCGAAUGCAUCGAGUGGGCUCCGUGCCAGGCAGGCGCUGGGCUAAUUUAAAAUAGUUCAGCGGAGCGAACGUGACGCAGCUACCGAAGGAGUGAAAACGAAUGGCAGGGCUCGGAGCUCGUGAUUUAUGGCUGUGGACUGGGUGAAACCUGAAAGAAGCAGAUUACACUGGGGAUACAGAGGAUUUUUUUUUUUUAAACUGUGUUAUUUAUUAUUGUUACUGUACUGUCCUCAAGAAAACAAAUCAGUAGAGGACCUGUGUCACCCACUCCUACAUGAGACCUAAUAGCAGCAUCCCCAUACCAGCGAGGGGCUUACUGAGAAGCUGGCAACAGGCACCUGGCGGUGCAUUGUGUGAAGAUGAGACAGCGGACACGAAAGCAGGAGAGAUUCAGGCUGGAAACGAGGAAUAACCGUGUCAUGAUGAGAUGAGUAAAGCGUUGCUAGAUGUUAGUGCGCUGGAAGCACCAGUGCAGUGCGCUCUGUCCAUCCCUGGAGGUCUUCGAAGUGCCAGUUGAUAAACCUCUGAGCAGCCUGCUCUGAUCUCUAGGCUGACCCUGCUUUGAGCAGGGCGUUUGGCAAAAUCACCUCCUGAGCCCUCUUCCAAUCCGAAUGACUCUGCAGUCCUAAGAUUUGGAGAUAGCAAACUUAUUUUCACACCCUAAAUGCAACCAAGCGUUUUAUUCUUUAAAAUGCAAGUGGGAGCCAUUAUGAUCACCUGGGCAAUGUGCAGCCCAGGGGAUCGUAUCUGAGGACUUUUUUUACUUGGAUCAUUGCCCUUGUUCUUUGUCCAGCUUUUAGGAAUAUUUUUUUCCUCACUAUUUGAAGAAUUACAGCACGUAUAUAUUCUCAUUACUCCUACUGCUGGUACUAGUACUUCUGGAGAGUCAGAUGCCGCAUGAGUAAAACUAGAACUGGAGUACCUCAUGAUAAAUGUUGUGGGAGGCUCUGCUUUAUUUCUUGUGACUUUGAAUUGAUUUGGAUUUGCACUUUUUAUGAGUAUCUGGAAGUUUACAGGGUUUUGCUAAAUUUAUGCUAGUUAAGCAAGAAUCCUCUGCAAUAAAUCCUGUUAGAUCUGUGCCCUUUAAUGUAUUAUUUUCAUCCGCUUUUUUGUUGCAACAACACUUUUUCUAUAUAUAAAUUGAAAGAUGAAGUAAAGUGACAUUUCUGUGACGCUAUUUUGUAAAAUUCCUCUUAUUUUUAGAAAAGGAAAAACAAACAAACAAGAAAACAAUAACAAAGCUUUAGCAAGACAUUUUGGUGCCUGGGCUGAUUGCCUGUUUUUUGUCUUGCUGUGAGACACCUGUACAUCUCAGGCUGUUCCUUUUAGCCAGUAGCAUGAAUUUGCAACCUUUCCUCCUGCAGCAGCAACCAGGAGAGCAUGGUCUCUCUGUUUGAUAAUGUUCAUUUUCCCUUAUUCUAGGUACAGAUCUGGGUACUGUUUAGUAGGAGUUCUUAAACUUAACUGGCACUGGAAGCCUCUGUGAAAUCAAUCAAGUAGGAAUCCCCAGCCAACAAGCUGAGCUGGUCUGUGGACAGCUGGUAGCCUGGAAGGCCCCGAUUUGGAUCUCCUAAAAACUGCUGUGUUUGUAGGUUUGGUUUGGUUUCUGACUUCUACAAAAGAAGUUUUUUGAAGGGAUUUAGAGAGGUUUGGGAGGAAUACUUAAGACUUGGCUUUCAGUCUGAAAAUCGUGGAAGCCUCUAAACUUCCCGUCGUGGCAAGAUAAUAUCGCAAACAACAUUCAGCAGUUUUAUUAAGGUACAUCCUGCUGCCCUUGAUGAGGUGAAACGUCUUGUAACUCACUCGACUGCUAAAGAUGCCUAACUUUUAGUGCUGUCACUCUAACAGCAAAUCUUUACUCGAGCCUGACAUUCAUGUCACUGGAUUGCAGGAGUAUAAGGAAUCUGGAAUUAUGCAUGGGAGAUGAAUUCAAACAUGCUUUGAUUCUUCACUGAAAUACCAUCUUUGAGAUUUCAUCGCAGCUGCGCCUUCGGGCUGCCCGCUGUAAUUGCGUUGUGCGUGCUGAUAAACCCGGGGAGCAGCAGACUUCUCAAGUGCCCAAAGGUAGAGCAAGAACUAACGGCAGAAGUUGUUGGAACUUCGCAAGCAAAUUCCAGAU
Cygnus atratus (black swan) is the source of this 2579-nucleotide long non-coding RNA. RefSeq lists it as uncharacterized. The transcript has 4 exons. The record is from RefSeq and is a predicted model, not a curated record. Lineage: Eukaryota; Metazoa; Chordata; Aves; Anseriformes; Anatidae.